UGUAAACUCAGAAUUCUGAGUUAUCACGCAAUUCCGAAAAAAAAAAAUGUUCUCAUUCUUCAGAUUGAGCUCAAGGUAAUUUCAAUAGUAAAGCACUAUCAUAAUGUGAAGGUAACAGAAAAAUAACAAGAUGUUUAGGUUGCAUAUCAUACAAACAAGCAAGCAUAAACAUCUUGGCAGGAACAAGCUAUAAACUGAACCAGACUUUAUGACGACAGUCAAAGUCUGACUAUGCGACUCAUGAAGUGCAGAUAUGACUCACGGUGAAGUGUGGACAAUAUAACGCCGGUUUUUCAUCACAGAGCCUUACAUAAGUUUCAGUCACAUAUAGCCACUAGUGACUCAGAGAUGAGCACAUGACUUAAAAAAAGCUCUCAUUCGUCUUAAUCAUAAUAAGAAACUAGUCCUUUGAAAUAAAAAAAUAGAUAUACUAUACUAAUAUAUGUGCUUAUUAUAUGCAGCCUUGAGAUUUCCUUCUGACCAUCUUUCUGCUUUCAUGAAUUGCAUGAAUCGCACAAAAAGUCCCACAAAGGCUCAGUCUAACAUAUCAAACGUAACCUCCAGGCCUUUAUGGAGACACGCUGGCCCUCUCCAAUACAAUUACAGCCCUCCAGUCCUUCCUUACUGUGCUGGUGCAAAUAAAGGAUCUGUCCAAUGGCUACAGUAUAACAGCUCCACCAAAUGAGGAGGGAUAGGCAGCAGAAACAGAUGCUCAGAGUCUGUGAGAGAUUUGAUUGACAGCCCUGUUUGAAGCAGGCUUUGGGAGAAGAGAGGAGUCGUGUGCUGCAGGAGCUGAUGACGUCCGUCAGCGGACUUCAAUUCAUGUUUCCGUGCUCUCUGUGUACAUAUCGUCUAUUUUAGGUUUUCUAUUUUUACACUGCUCUUUUUAUGUGUUUUAUCCACUACAGUUUCCACCUCAAAGC
Cyprinus carpio (common carp) is the source of this 923-nucleotide long non-coding RNA. RefSeq lists it as uncharacterized. The record is from RefSeq and is a predicted model, not a curated record. NCBI's taxonomy places the organism in Eukaryota, Metazoa, Chordata, Actinopteri, Cypriniformes, Cyprinidae. The transcript has 3 exons.